AACGAACGCUGGCGGCAUGCCUAACACAUGCAAGUCGAACGAGACCUUCGGGUCUAGUGGCGCACGGGUGCGUAACGCGUGGGAACCUGCCCUUAGGUUCGGAAUAACUCCCCGAAAGGGGUGCUAAUACCGGAUAAUGUCUUCGGACCAAAGAUUUAUCGCCUUUGGAUGGGCCCGCGUUGGAUUAGCUAGUUGGUAUGGUAAAAGCCUACCAAGGCGACGAUCCAUAGCUGGUCUGAGAGGAUGAUCAGCCACACUGGGACUGAGACACGGCCCAGAAUACUACGGGAGGCAGCAGUGGGGAAUAUAGGAAAAUGGGCGAAAGGCUGAACCAGCAAUGCCGCGUGAGUGAUGAAGGCCUUAGGGUUGUAAAGCUCGUUUACACGGGAUGAUAAUGACAGUACCGGGAGAAUAAGCUCCGGCUAACUCCGUG
Molecule: ribosomal RNA, 433 nt
Filed under: uncultured bacterium
Lineage: Bacteria
Description: partial 16S ribosomal RNA
Rfam family: Bacterial small subunit ribosomal RNA
Source: RNAcentral